CAUGUAGGCGGCCUAUCAAGCGUUGUGUGAAAUCCCUCGGCUCAACCGAGGAACUGCAUGGCGAACUGGUAGGCUUGAGGCAAGUAGGGGCGAGUGGAACUCUUGGUGGAGCGGUGGAAUGCGUAGAUAUCAAGAGGAACGUCGGAGGCGAAGGCGACUCGCUGGGCUUGACCUGACGCUGAGAUGCGAAAGCUAGGGUAGCGAACAGGAUUAGAUACCCUGGUAGUCC
RNAcentral lists this ribosomal RNA (229 nucleotides) under uncultured bacterium. Its description in RNAcentral is "partial 16S ribosomal RNA". It matches the Rfam family "Bacterial small subunit ribosomal RNA", at positions 568 to 796 of the family's 1533-position model. The record is from RNAcentral.